GACGAACGCUGGCGGCGUGCUUAACACAUGCAAGUCGAACGAAGAGCGACGGAAGCUUGCUUCUAUCAAUCUUAGUGGCGAACGGGUGAGUAACGCGUAAUCAACCUGCCCUUCAGAGGGGGACAACAGUUGGAAACGACUGCUAAUACCGCAUACGAUCUAACCUCGGCAUCGAGGAUAGAUGAAAGGUGGCCUCUACAUGUAAGCUAUCACUGAAGGAGGGGAUUGCGUCUGAUUAGCUAGUUGGAGGGGUAACGGCCCACCAAGGCGAUGAUCAGUAGCCGGUCUGAGAGGAUGAACGGCCACAUUGGGACUGAGACACGGCCCAGACUCCUACGGGAGGCAGCAGUGGGGAAUCUUCCGCAAUGGACGAAAGUCUGACGGAGCAACGCCGCGUGAGUGAUGACGGCCUUCGGGUUGUAAAGCUCUGUUAAUCGGGACGAAAGGUCUUCUUGCGAAUAGUGAGAAGGAUUGACGGUACCGGAAUAGAAAGCCACGGCUAACUACGUG
Molecule: ribosomal RNA, 510 nt
Filed under: uncultured bacterium
Lineage: Bacteria
Description: partial 16S ribosomal RNA
Rfam family: Bacterial small subunit ribosomal RNA
Source: RNAcentral